This 697-nucleotide ribosomal RNA is filed under the name uncultured Campylobacterota bacterium. RNAcentral describes it as "bacterial SSU rRNA". It matches the Rfam family "Bacterial small subunit ribosomal RNA", at positions 8 to 717 of the family's 1533-position model. The record is from RNAcentral. Lineage: Bacteria; Pseudomonadati; Campylobacterota.
AGAGUUUGAUCCUGGCUCAGAGUGAACGCUGGCGGCGUGCUUAACACAUGCAAGUCGAACGAGAACGGAACUAACUUGUUAGUUUGUCAGCUAAGUGGCGCACGGGUGAGUAAUGUAUAGAUAACAUGCCCUAUAGUAAGGGAUAACAAUUAGAAAUGAUUGCUAAUACCUUAUAUGCCUUUUAGACACAAGUCUGUAAAGGGAAAGAUUUAUCGCUAUAGGAUUGGUCUGUAUAGUAUCAGUUAGUUGGUAAGGUAACGGCUUACCAAGACUAUGACGCUUAACUGGUUUGAGAGGAUGAUCAGUCACACUGGAACUGAGACACGGUCCAGACUCCUACGGGAGGCAGCAGUGGGGAAUAUUGCACAAUGGGCGAAAGCUUGAUGCAGCAACGCCGCGUGGAGGAUGACACAUUUCGGUGCGUAAACUCCUUUUAUAUCCCAAGAUAAUGACGGUAGGAUAUGAAUAAGCUCCGGCUAACUCCGUGCCAGCAGCCGCGGUAAUACGGAGGGAGCAAGCGUUACUCGGAAUCACUGGGCGUAAAGAGAAUGUAGGCGGUUAAUUAAGUUAGAAGUGAAAUCCUAUAGCUCAACUAUAGAACUGCUUCUAAAACUGAUUAACUAGAAUAUGGGAGAGGUAGAUGGAAUUUCUGGUGUAGGGGUAAAAUCCGUAGAGAUCAGAAGGAAUACCGAUUGUG